UCCCCCAGUAGUGGCGAGCGACCGGGGAAGAGCCCAAACCGUCGGCGUUUCGGCGCCGUCGGGGUAGUAGGGCCGCAAUGUCGCACAAGCACCGUUAAGCGGAACGGACUGGAACGUCCGGCCAUAGCGGGUGAAAGCCCCUUACGCGCCGUCGGUGCUGGCGUAGCGGUUCCCUGAGUAGCGCGGGGCACGAGAAACCCUGUGCGAAUCCGCCGGGACCAUCCGGCAAGGCUAAAUACUCCCUUGAGACCGAUAGUGAACAAGUACCGUGAGGGAAAGGUGGGAAGCACCCCGUCGAGGGGAGUGAAAGAGACCCUGAAACCAUGCGCCUACAAGCGGUCGGAGCACGCAUGUGCGUGUGACGGCGUGCCUUUUGCAUAAUGAACCUACGAGUUGCCGUCGCCGGCGAGGUUAACCGUGAAGACGCGGGGAGCCGCAGUGAGAGCGAGCCUGAAGAGGGCGCAUAGUCGGCGGUGGCAGACGCGAAACCAAGUGAUCUACACUUGGCCAGGGUGAAGUCCCGGUAACGCGGGAUGGAGGCCCGAACCGAUAAGCGUUGAAAAGCUUCCGGAUGAGCCGAGUGUAGGAGUGAAAGGCCAAUCAAACUUGGAGAUAGCUCGUACUCCCCGAAAGGCAUUUAGGUGCCGCGUGGGGUGUUCCGGGCGCGAGGUAGAGCGACCGAUAGGACGCGAGGGCUUCACCGCCUGUCAAGUCCUGACGAACUCCGAAUGCGCGUCCGCAGAAGCCCUGCAGUAAGGGGGCGGGUGCUAAGGUCCGCCCCCGAGAGGAGAAGAAUCCAGACCGCCGUCUAAGGCCCCGGAAUUCUGCCUGAGUUAGUCUAACGAAGUGUGCCCCCUGGGACAGCCAGGAUGUUGGCUUGGAAGCAGCCAUUCAUUCAAAGAGUGCGUAACAGCUCACUGGUCGAGGGGGCUCGCGUGGAUAAUAAUCGGGUAUAAGGCAGAUGCCGAAGGCGCGGGAUAUCGAAAGAACGUAUCGGUAGGGGAGCAUUCCAGGUGCGCAGAAUGCAAGGGGCGACCCAUGCUGGAGCGCCUGGAAAGGCAAAUGUAGGUAUGAGUAACGACAAGGGGGGCGCGAACCCCCCCCGCCGCAAGGCCAAGGUUUCCCGGGCGAUGCCAGUCAUCCCGGGGUAAGUCGGGCCCUAAGCCUAAGCCGAAUGGCGAUGGCGAUGGCAGACACGGUUGAUAUUCCGUGACUGCCCGUGCGGGCGAUGCGGCAACGGAGAAGUGACACCGCCGCGCGCAGACGGAACUGCGCGUUGAAGGGUGUAGGCGUCGAGGGGCGCAGUCAAGCACACGCCCCGAGCCGAACCUGAGAGUACGGCGCUCCAUUCGUGGAGGGCCGAGAGUGCGGGUAAUCCGGCUCCCAAGAAACCCCGCUAAGCUUAACCGCACGGGCACCCGUACCGCAAACGGACACACGUGGCCGGGUAGAGCAUACCAAGGCGUUGAGAGACUCAUGGUCAAGGAACUAGGCAAACCAGCCCCGUAACUUCGGGAGAAGGGGUCCUCCCCCUGUGGGAGGCGCAGCGAACAGGCCCAGGCAACUGUUUACCAAAAACACAGGGCUGUGCAAACUCGAGAGAUGAAGUAUACAGCCUGACACCUGCCCGGUGCCGGAAGGUUAAGAGGAGGCGUCACCGCAAGGGAAGCGCCGAGUUGAAGCCCCGGUAAACGGCGGCCGUAACUAUAACGGUCCUAAGGUAGCGAAAUUCCUUGUCGGGUAAGUUCCGACCUGCACGAAUGGUGUAAUGAUCCGGGCGCUGUCUCGACCAUGAUCUCAGUGAAAUUGUAGUAUCGGUGAAGAUGCCGAUUACCCGCGAUGGGACGAAAAGACCCCGUGAACCUUUACUGCAGCUUAGCGCUGACCUUGGCCAUCGGAUGUGUAGGAUAGGCCGGAGGCAAUGAGGGCGCCACGCCAGUGGUGCCGGAGCCGCCGUUGAAAUACGGCCCUUCCGCUGUCCGGGGUCUAACGCGCGAUGCGCGGACACCGCUUGGCGGGCAGUUUGACUGGGGUGGUCGCCUCCAAAAGCGUAACGGAGGCUUCCAAAGGUGCCCUCAGGCCGAUUGGCAACCGGCCUAAAUGAGUGCAAUGGCAAAAGGGCGCUUGACUGGGAGGGGGACACCCCGAGCAGGCAGGAAACUGGGGCAUAGUGAUCCGGCGGUUCCGCAUGGAAGGGCCGUCGCUCAAAGGAUAAAAGGUACUCC
RNAcentral lists this ribosomal RNA (2225 nucleotides) under human gut metagenome. RNAcentral's name for it is "bacterial LSU rRNA". It matches the Rfam family "Bacterial large subunit ribosomal RNA", at positions 236 to 2469 of the family's 2925-position model. The record is from RNAcentral.